Ribosomal RNA from Sinocyclocheilus anshuiensis, 117 nucleotides. The record is from Ensembl. Lineage: Eukaryota; Metazoa; Chordata; Actinopteri; Cypriniformes; Cyprinidae.
UCUGGCAGCCAUAUCACCCUGUAGCCCAAGCUUGGUUGCCCACUGAAGCUAAGCAGGGCUGCGCCUGGUCAGUACCUGAAUGGGAGACCUCCUGGGAAAACUAGGUUGCUGCUGGAA